UGCCAGGCGUGCACAUGUCCCUGCCAGGCGUGCACACGGGCGUGUGUGCCUGAACCGGAGAUGUAGAUGUAUAUAUGGGGCUUGAUUUAUAUCUAAUGGCACGUAUAAAGCUUUUGAAGGUGGCUGCAAUGUAAAAAGUAAUGACUUUAUUACCCCUGAAAGGUUCUGCGGUUCGCAGUUAACACUCCUCUGAAUUACAAUUCAUUACGCUCUCCAAAGCCAACCUGCAUCAGAACACCUACCUGUGCUUAUUCCCAAUCACAGGCAUCGUUCAUUCUAAAAAUCAUAGCAAAUUAAGCACUUGGUGACAACUAAAUCUGUUUCAUUAUCGUGCCGUGUUUGAGAUUCCAGAGGUGACUUCCCAGAUCGCAUCUCAAAACCUACAGUCAGGAGCUAAUUUUACAGAUGCUUUCAUGAAUGGCAGCGAGGAUGUUCUUACCAUCAGCAUGCCCUUAAUUCCAGCACCGUAAAAAUGCCUCGAUUUAAAUGGAAACUCGCUGCCUUAAAAAUAAUAUUUCAUCCUGGCUGGAUAAUUAUUAAUAUUAGCAUUUGAUCGCAAAAGUGCUGGCUCCCCCUCGUUCCUGUACCCCCCCACCCCACCCCACAGCGCUUCGCAUUGUCAUGUGAUUGGAGGGAGAUAACAAAUCUCAAGAAAGAAAAGGAGUGAGAAGACAUUUUUAACACGGCAUGACCGCAGAUUAAUAAUGCAGGGUAUGAAUUUGGUACUUCUAGCUCUUGUGAAGCUCCCUACUCAAUGGAAUAUGUAUGGAUACUCCAGGUAAAUCUACAGCUACCCUGAGGAUUUCACAGGGCACACCUGCCACCCUGACCCACCUCCCUGUUCCUACACAUUGGGAAGAGGCCAGGAACAAGAAAUGACACCUUAGUUAUCUCCAAAGAGGGUCCUAAAUGUGUAAGAUAAAGAGAACAUAAAUAAAUAUCUUUGCUAACAGUUUCUUGGAA
Non-coding RNA from Zonotrichia albicollis (white-throated sparrow), 963 nucleotides. Lineage: Eukaryota; Metazoa; Chordata; Aves; Passeriformes; Passerellidae. The record is from RefSeq and is a predicted model, not a curated record.